RNAcentral lists this long non-coding RNA (1364 nucleotides) under Equus asinus (donkey). RNAcentral describes it as "lncRNA (ENSEASG00005031581.1)". The record is from RNAcentral. Lineage: Eukaryota; Metazoa; Chordata; Mammalia; Perissodactyla; Equidae.
AUUGGUAAUAUUCCUUGGUUUCAUCCUGCUGUUUCUCGCCUACCCGACUCUCGCUGUCUCCUCUAAUUGGACGUUUGUCCAGCCUUUCCUUCCUAAACACCUACCCGCCUCCUACCGCACACGCACCCGCUAUGUAAGGCUGCUCCUCUGGGAGGCAGCGCCACAGCACAGGUGUUUUCUCGUUGGAGAAGGAUCAAAUGAGUGGAAGGCAUUAACAUCAGCAGCUGGGGUUCCGCAAUAAGCUAGGCUGAAGUCUUAACCCUCAGCAGCGGUGGAUGAGAACUUAGCAUGAAAUCAGUUCUUUGUAGAUGUAAUCAACUUAAGAUGAGGUCCUUAGGGUGGCCCCUACUGCAAUAUGACUCUUGUCUUAUAAGAAGAGGAAAGUGCCCUGUGAAGCCAGAGACACACAGGGAGAACGUCAUGUGAUGACAGAGGCGGGGGCUGGAAUGAUGCCGCUGCAAGGCAGGAGAUGCUAAGGAUUGACGGCUUCUUCCAGGAUCUAGGAAGAAACAAGGCAGGAUUCUUCCCUACAGCUUCAGAGGGAGUGUGGCCCUGCCAACACUUUGAUCCAGGCGCCUGGCCUCCAGAAGUGUGAGCCGGCUGUCAACAUUCUGCUUUAUAACAGAUUCUUGUGUAGACCCAUCAGGAAACAGAAAUCCUUGUCUACCUAUGAACAGUUGUGCUGUUGCUUUCUGAGAUUUCUUAAAUGCCAUCCACCUUUAAGAGGUGGUGUUGAAGGAGCGGAAGAUGCCUGGUUCCUUUCGUCUGUUGUGUGUCUGGGAGGCCUUGUUGACGUGGGAGUGCAAAGACUGACUUCCUUGGCAGAUGGAGACCCAAGGUGCUGAGCUUGCUGUCUCCAACGUCAGCCAACCAGCUAGUGGGAGGGAAAAGGUGAUACCUAAGGAAUUUCUUCCAUCUUCCAUAUAAGGACAAAUGUUAAUGGUGCUUAAAUAAAUGACUCUAUGUCGCUCCAAAAGGAAUUUAAAAUUACAUAGAAAUGAAUAAGCUUUCCAUUUACACUGAAAUGGGGGAAGUUUCUGUGCCUUUAAAUUGAAAAUUUAGAAAAUUAUCGAGUUAUGUAAUACGUUUUAUGUGUUAUUUGUCAGUUGGUGAGGGAAAAUGCCAGUUAAAUAAAUUAGUUUGAAUGACCCAUAGUUUAUCCUUUUGUAAAAUUUUUUUCUUUUCUUACAUUUCCCUUUCCUACGUCUGUUAGCAGGUUUUAUGGAGCCCAUGACUUUCUCCCACCCUUUUAAUAAUACUGUUUUUGAAAUAAAGAGCAAGAGAAAGCAAGUAGGAAUUCCCUUUUCAGAUGCUAAUUUCUUUCUGCCUCUAUUUAAUCAGUGGUCUGCUGGUUUGUUAACUUC